This 253-nucleotide ribosomal RNA is filed under the name uncultured bacterium. RNAcentral's name for it is "partial 16S ribosomal RNA". It matches the Rfam family "Bacterial small subunit ribosomal RNA", at positions 524 to 776 of the family's 1533-position model. The record is from RNAcentral.
UACAGAGGGGGCAAGCGUUGUUCGGAAUUACUGGGCGUAAAGGGCGCGUAGGCGGCCGCCUAAGUCAGACGUGAAAUCCCUCGGCUCAACCGGGGAACUGCGUCUGAUACUGGGCGGCUUGAAUUCGGGAGAGGAAUGCGGAAUUCCAGGUGUAGCGGUGAAAUGCGUAGAUAUCAAGCGGAACACCGGUGGCGAAGGCGACCUUCUGGACAGUGACUGACGCUGAGACGCGAAAGCGUGGGGAGCAAACAGG